CAGUCGCCGCGGGAAAACGUAGGUGGCAAGCGUUGUCCGGAAUUAUUGGGCGUAAAGCGCGCGCAGGCGGAUCGGUCAGUCUGUCUUAAAAGUUCGGGGCUUAACCCCGUGAUGGGAUGGAAACUGCCAAUCUAGAGUAUCGGAGAGGAAAGUGGAAUUCCUAGUGUAGCGGUGAAAUACGUAGAUAUUAGGAAGAACACCAGUGGCGAAGGCGACUUUCUGGACGAAAACUGACGCUGAGGCGCGAAAGCCAGGGGAGCGAACGGGAUUAGAUACCCCAGUAGUCCCUGUCUCUUAUACA
This 301-nucleotide ribosomal RNA is filed under the name uncultured bacterium. RNAcentral describes it as "partial 16S ribosomal RNA". It matches the Rfam family "Bacterial small subunit ribosomal RNA", at positions 509 to 809 of the family's 1533-position model. The record is from RNAcentral.